GAAUGACAUGAUGAUUAGUAUUUCCCUAUUGGUUUGAUUGCCUGGAUGAUGGCACUCAUGUAUUAGCUCUAUCUGAUCAUUC
Small nucleolar RNA from Cajanus cajan (pigeon pea), 82 nucleotides. It matches the Rfam family "Small nucleolar RNA Z102/R77". Rfam says of the family: Z102 and R77 and are members of the C/D class of snoRNA which contain the C (UGAUGA) and D (CUGA) box motifs. Most of the members of the box C/D family function in directing site-specific 2'-O-methylation of substrate RNAs. The record is from Rfam. Lineage: Eukaryota; Viridiplantae; Streptophyta; Magnoliopsida; Fabales; Fabaceae.